RNAcentral lists this ribosomal RNA (301 nucleotides) under uncultured bacterium. RNAcentral's name for it is "partial 16S ribosomal RNA". It matches the Rfam family "Bacterial small subunit ribosomal RNA", at positions 509 to 807 of the family's 1533-position model. The record is from RNAcentral.
CACAGCCGCGGGGAAUACGAAGGGUGCAAGCGUUACUCGGAAUUACUGGGCGUAAAGCGUGCGUAGGUGGUGGUUUAAGUCCGUUGUGAAAGCCCUGGGCUCAACCUGGGAAUUGCAGUGGAUACUGGGUCACUAGAGUGUGGUAGAGGAUAGUGGAAUUUCCGGUGUAGCAGUGAAAUGCGUAGAGAUCGGAAGGAACAUCUGUGGCGAAGGCGACUAUCUGGGCCAACACUGACACUGAGGCACGAAAGCGUGGGGAGCAAACAGGAUUAGAUACCCCAGUAGUCCCUGUCUCUUAUAC